Molecule: transfer RNA, 84 nt
Filed under: Candidatus Enterovibrio escicola
Lineage: Bacteria; Pseudomonadati; Pseudomonadota; Gammaproteobacteria; Vibrionales; Vibrionaceae
Description: Candidatus Enterovibrio escacola tRNA
Rfam family: tRNA
About the family: Transfer RNA (tRNA) molecules are approximately 80 nucleotides in length. Their secondary structure includes four short double-helical elements and three loops (D, anti-codon, and T loops).
Source: Rfam by way of RNAcentral
GCCCUGAUGGUGAAAUUGGUAGACACAAGGGAUUUAAAAUCCCUCGACGGAAAAGUUGUGCCGGUUCAAAUCCGGCUCAGGGCA